This 253-nucleotide ribosomal RNA is filed under the name uncultured bacterium. RNAcentral describes it as "partial 16S ribosomal RNA". It matches the Rfam family "Bacterial small subunit ribosomal RNA", at positions 524 to 776 of the family's 1533-position model. The record is from RNAcentral.
GACAGAGGUGCCGAGCGUUAGGCGGAAUCACUGGGCUUAAAGCGUGUGUAGGCGGACUUCUAAGUACCUUGUGAAAUCCCCCGGCUCAACCGGGGAACUGCGGGGCAUACUGCGGGUCUUGAGGAAGGUAGGCGCCGAGGGAACAGUAGGUGGAGCGGUGAAAUGCGUAGAUAUCUACUGGAACGCCGAUGGUGAAGACGCUCGGCUGGGCCUUUCCUGACGCUGAGGCACGAAAGCGUGGGGAGCAAACAGG